GGCUGAUUCGAUGGUAGUGGGUUAUCAGAACUUAUUAACAUUAGUGUCACUUAAGUUGGUAUACAACCCCCCACUGCUAAAUUUGGCUUAAA
Molecule: Y RNA, 92 nt
Filed under: Carlito syrichta (Philippine tarsier)
Lineage: Eukaryota; Metazoa; Chordata; Mammalia; Primates; Tarsiidae
Description: Y RNA (ENSTSYG00000036467.1)
Rfam family: Y RNA
About the family: Y RNAs are components of the Ro ribonucleoprotein particle (Ro RNP), in association with Ro60 and La proteins. The Y RNAs and Ro60 and La proteins are well conserved, but the function of the Ro RNP is not known.
Source: Rfam by way of RNAcentral